AAUUUGGGAACGAGAUGCCCGGGGAUGCAACCAGCCCCGCGCUCGGAGGCGGCGGUCGGAGUUCCGUGCGCAGAGGGCACACAAAAGCCUCGAGGAUCAUUGCCUCGACCCCAUCCCCCACCGCGCGGCGACGCCCCCUACGGGCUGGGACACCUCCACUCUCGGACUGCUGCCGGGUUUCCCUCCGGCUGCGACCCUGGAGGAUUUGAUGGAAAUGCUACAAGAGAAGCAGGCUCUCCCCUUCUGAAAUGAUGAGUGAUAAUGACCAUACAGGUCAACUUUUCCACCACUUGGAGGGAGCCUGUCAAAGAACAAAGGCAACAGAGAAGAGAGCAGAGCUGAGGUUGGGUGAGAGGGAGAAAUUCCUGAGUGCUUGAAUCCCACAUGCCGGAAGCCGCACCACACUUGGACUUCUCAAUACAGGAGCCACUGAGAAACCAAGUCAUGCUGAAGACCUGGAAAUCCCAGCAGGCUGCAAACCAGCUGCAACUACAAUGGGUCAGCCCUUUUGAGAUGCUGCUGACUACCCACUUAUCUGCCAAGUUAGCCAGUGUUAAGCCAUGGAUUCACCACGCUCAGAUAAAACCUGCCCCUCUGGGAUCCCUCCAGAAAAAAACAGGCAUGCUGUUGUGAACCCUAAGAUGGCCUUAAGUUAAUAUUCAAUGCCCAGCCAAAGACCCUAAAUAAGAAGUCAUAAAGGAAACAUGUGCUUUUCAGGUUGGUAUUAUUCUCCCCAAAACCCUUCUUGCAUGCAGGAUGUAAUGAAUCAGAAAUAGUUGUUAGUAAUUUUUUUUUUUUUGAGACAGAGUCUCACUCUGUCACUCAGGCUGGAGUGCAGUGGUAUAAUCUCAGCUCACUGCAACCUCCACCUCUCAGGUUCAAGCAAUUCUCAUGCUUCAGCCUCCCAAGUAGCUAGGACUACAGGUGUGCACCACCAUGCCCAGGUAAUUUUUGUAUUUUUAAUAGAUACAGGGUUUCACCACGUUGCUCAGGCUGGUCUUGAACUCCUGACCUCAAGUGAGCCACAUCUGCCUCAGCCUCCCGGAGUGCUAGGAUUGCAGGUGUGAGCCACCACACCCAGCCAUGAAUCAGAAAUACUUUUUAAUAGGCUUAGGAUUGUUCUCUUGGAUUCCUUAAGGGAUCCACUUUAAUUCUUGGGUGUUUUUUUUUUUUUUAAUCAUGGUGCUCCAACAAGCGGGAUGCCAGUCAGGUAAUCCUGAGCACUUCAGAUUCAGGGGUGAUGUUUGCAUUUCCCAUCAUUAUCCCACAAUGCACCCCUUAGCAUUAAGUAGCCAAAAAGGCAGACAACCAUAUUCCCCAUGAUCGAAAAAUUGAUGAAUAGAAAAAAGGGGAUUAAAACCAGCCCAAUUGUCCCAUAGAAAUGAUAUUACGGUUUUUAAAAGAAACAUAAAAAUUAACCUUCCUGUUUUUAAAAUUUAAAACUUACAUUUAUCUCAUCUGAAUUCCUUCCUCAAAAAACAGACACUCAGGCAAAAACAAAAACCUAAAACUCAUCAGAUCACUGUAUCCAGACAGAGACGCCAGACCCCUCAUCCAUCAUGAUUGCUUCUAUACUCCUCCUUAAUUCCUAUUUUCCCACCUUUCCUGCUAUACAAAACCCCCAAUUUUAGUCGGUCAGACAAACACAUUUGAGACUUUAUCUCCUGUUCUCCUUGGCUGCAACACCCCGUUAAAGUUUUCUUCCCUGGCAAUAGUUACUGUCUCAGUGAUUGGCAUUCUGUGUAACAAGCAGCAGAACCUAGACUGGAACCCUGGUGUUUCAGUAACAUUACCUUGUAGUAAAUGCUGUUGUGUCAUGCCCAGAUUCACUUUACCAAGCCCAGAUCCCACAGAUUAAAGGGCUCAGCUCCACAAGACUUCAGACACCAGCCACAAAUGGGGUCCCCAGGUGACCCACACUUCUGCCCAGUGGACUAUAAAUUCAAGGGUUCUGUGACUUUCCCUACCCAGCUUUGAUAAUUCACUAGAAUCCUCACAGAACUCAGGAAAAUGCCAUACCUACUAUUACACUUUAUUAUGAUGGACACACACGAGCAGCCAGAUGGAGGGGUACUGAGGAAGCAUCUGAAUGCAGGAGGCUCUGUCCCUGGAGAGUUGGGAUGAGCCACUCUCCUGGAUGUGUUCACCAACUCAGAAGCUCUCCAAGCCCCAUUGUGUAGGGAUUUUUUAUGGCAGUUUCAGUAAGUACACAUGAUUGAUUAAAUCAUUGGCCAUUGGUGAUUGAACUCAAUCUCUAGCCCCUCUCCUGCUCUCAGAGGUGGAAGAGCAAGGCUGGAAGUUCUAACCUUCUCAGUACAUGGUUGGUUUUUCCUGUGUCCAGGUCCCAUCCUAAAGCUACCUAGGCCCCCUCUGCCCAACAAGAGUCUUCUCAUUAGCAAAAGAGUAAUUUCCAAGGGUGUUAGGAGCUCUAUGCUGGGAACCAGGGACCAAGAGUAAAUAUAUAUUUUGUAUUUUACCACAGGUACCAAUCACCCUCCAGAUCUAAGAAUGGCUUCAGGCUGGGGCUGCAGUCACCUCUUUGCCCAGCUUCUCCCCUGCCCUAUUCUGCUUCACUUGCAUCCUUAAAGGUUCCACCCAAGAGCUCUUCUACAAGAAAGCACCUAUAAAGCCAGACACAUUGGCUUAUGCCUAUAAUCCUAGCACUUUGGGAGGCCAAGGUAGGAGGAUGGCUUGAGGCCAGGAGUUCAAGACCAGCCUGGGCAACUUAGUGAGGCCCCGUCUCUAUAAAAAAUAAAAAAAUUAACCAGGUGUGGUGGUGCACGUCUCUAGUCUCAGCUACUCAGGAGGCUGUGGCAGGAAGAUGGCUUGAGCCCAGGAGGUUGAGGCUGCAGUGAACUAAGAUCAUGCCACUGCACCCAUCUUGGGCAACAGAAUGAGAUCCUGUCUCUAAAAAAAUAAAAACAAUUUACAACAGUAAGCACCUGUACACAAGCCCCAUCUCCAGUCCUGUUUCUAGGGCUUCCAAUUUAACACACCUAGAGGCUGGGCAUAGUAGCUCAUGCCUGUAAUCCCAAUACUUUGGGAGGCUGAGGCAAGUGAAGCACUUGAGGUCAGGAGUUCGAGACCAGCCUGGCCAACAUGGCAAAACCCCAUCUCUACUAAAAAUGCAAACAUUAGCUGGGCAUGGUGGCACAUGCCUGUAAUCCCAGCUACUCGGGAGGCUGAGACAGGAGAAUCACUUGAACCCAGGAGGUGGAGGUUACAGUGAGCCAAGAUCACACCACUGUACCACAGCCUGAGCAACGAAAGAAGACUCUGUCUAAAAAAAGUAAAAAAUAAAAUAAAACACACCUGGAGCUUUCUCUGAGAAACCAAGUCAUGCUGAAGACCUGGAAAUCCCAGCAGGCUGCAAACCAGCUGCAACUACAAUGGGUCAGCCCUUUUGAGAUGCUGCUGACUACCCACUUAUCUGCCAAGUUAGCCAGUGUUAAGCCAUGGAUUCACCACGCUCAGAUAAAACCUGCCCCUCUGGGAUCCCUCCAGAAAAAAACAGGCAUGCUGUUGUGAACCCUAAGAUGGCCUUAAGUUAAUAUUCAAUGCCCAGCCAAAGACCCUAAAUAAGAAGUCAUAAAGGAAACAUGUGCUUUUCAGGUUGGUAUUAUUCUCCCCAAAACCCUUCUUGCAUGCAGGAUGUAAUGAAUCAGAAAUAGUUGUUAGUAAUUUUUUUUUUUUUGAGACAGAGUCUCACUCUGUCACUCAGGCUGGAGUGCAGUGGUAUAAUCUCAGCUCACUGCAACCUCCACCUCUCAGGUUCAAGCAAUUCUCAUGCUUCAGCCUCCCAAGUAGCUAGGACUACAGGUGUGCACCACCAUGCCCAGGUAAUUUUUGUAUUUUUAAUAGAUACAGGGUUUCACCACGUUGCUCAGGCUGGUCUUGAACUCCUGACCUCAAGUGAGCCACAUCUGCCUCAGCCUCCCGGAGUGCUAGGAUUGCAGGUGUGAGCCACCACACCCAGCCAUGAAUCAGAAAUACUUUUUAAUAGGCUUAGGAUUGUUCUCUUGGAUUCCUUAAGGGAUCCACUUUAAUUCUUGGGUGUUUUUUUUUUUUUUAAUCAUGGUGCUCCAACAAGCGGGAUGCCAGUCAGGUAAUCCUGAGCACUUCAGAUUCAGGGGUGAUGUUUGCAUUUCCCAUCAUUAUCCCACAAUGCACCCCUUAGCAUUAAGUAGCCAAAAAGGCAGACAACCAUAUUCCCCAUGAUCGAAAAAUUGAUGAAUAGAAAAAAGGGGAUUAAAACCAGCCCAAUUGUCCCAUAGAAAUGAUAUUACGGUUUUUAAAAGAAACAUAAAAAUUAACCUUCCUGUUUUUAAAAUUUAAAACUUACAUUUAUCUCAUCUGAAUUCCUUCCUCAAAAAACAGACACUCAGGCAAAAACAAAAACCUAAAACUCAUCAGAUCACUGUAUCCAGACAGAGACGCCAGACCCCUCAUCCAUCAUGAUUGCUUCUAUACUCCUCCUUAAUUCCUAUUUUCCCACCUUUCCUGCUAUACAAAACCCCCAAUUUUAGUCGGUCAGACAAACACAUUUGAGACUUUAUCUCCUGUUCUCCUUGGCUGCAACACCCCGUUAAAGUUUUCUUCCCUGGCAAUAGUUACUGUCUCAGUGAUUGGCAUUCUGUGUAACAAGCAGCAGAACCUAGACUGGAACCCUGGUGUUUCAGUAACAUUACCUUGUAGUAAAUGCUGUUGUGUCAUGCCCAGAUUCACUUUACCAAGCCCAGAUCCCACAGAUUAAAGGGCUCAGCUCCACAAGACUUCAGACACCAGCCACAAAUGGGGUCCCCAGGUGACCCACACUUCUGCCCAGUGGACUAUAAAUUCAAGGGUUCUGUGACUUUCCCUACCCAGCUUUGAUAAUUCACUAGAAUCCUCACAGAACUCAGGAAAAUGCCAUACCUACUAUUACACUUUAUUAUGAUGGACACACACGAGCAGCCAGAUGGAGGGGUACUGAGGAAGCAUCUGAAUGCAGGAGGCUCUGUCCCUGGAGAGUUGGGAUGAGCCACUCUCCUGGAUGUGUUCACCAACUCAGAAGCUCUCCAAGCCCCAUUGUGUAGGGAUUUUUUAUGGCAGUUUCAGUAAGUACACAUGAUUGAUUAAAUCAUUGGCCAUUGGUGAUUGAACUCAAUCUCUAGCCCCUCUCCUGCUCUCAGAGGUGGAAGAGCAAGGCUGGAAGUUCUAACCUUCUCAGUACAUGGUUGGUUUUUCCUGUGUCCAGGUCCCAUCCUAAAGCUACCUAGGCCCCCUCUGCCCAACAAGAGUCUUCUCAUUAGCAAAAGAGUAAUUUCCAAGGGUGUUAGGAGCUCUAUGCUGGGAACCAGGGACCAAGAGUAAAUAUAUAUUUUGUAUUUUACCACAGGUACCAAUCACCCUCCAGAUCUAAGAAUGGCUUCAGGCUGGGGCUGCAGUCACCUCUUUGCCCAGCUUCUCCCCUGCCCUAUUCUGCUUCACUUGCAUCCUUAAAGGUUCCACCCAAGAGCUCUUCUACAAGAAAGCACCUAUAAAGCCAGACACAUUGGCUUAUGCCUAUAAUCCUAGCACUUUGGGAGGCCAAGGUAGGAGGAUGGCUUGAGGCCAGGAGUUCAAGACCAGCCUGGGCAACUUAGUGAGGCCCCGUCUCUAUAAAAAAUAAAAAAAUUAACCAGGUGUGGUGGUGCACGUCUCUAGUCUCAGCUACUCAGGAGGCUGUGGCAGGAAGAUGGCUUGAGCCCAGGAGGUUGAGGCUGCAGUGAACUAAGAUCAUGCCACUGCACCCAUCUUGGGCAACAGAAUGAGAUCCUGUCUCUAAAAAAAUAAAAACAAUUUACAACAGUAAGCACCUGUACACAAGCCCCAUCUCCAGUCCUGUUUCUAGGGCUUCCAAUUUAACACACCUAGAGGCUGGGCAUAGUAGCUCAUGCCUGUAAUCCCAAUACUUUGGGAGGCUGAGGCAAGUGAAGCACUUGAGGUCAGGAGUUCGAGACCAGCCUGGCCAACAUGGCAAAACCCCAUCUCUACUAAAAAUGCAAACAUUAGCUGGGCAUGGUGGCACAUGCCUGUAAUCCCAGCUACUCGGGAGGCUGAGACAGGAGAAUCACUUGAACCCAGGAGGUGGAGGUUACAGUGAGCCAAGAUCACACCACUGUACCACAGCCUGAGCAACGAAAGAAGACUCUGUCUAAAAAAAGUAAAAAAUAAAAUAAAACACACCUGGAGCUUUCUA
Molecule: long non-coding RNA, 6220 nt
Filed under: Homo sapiens (human)
Lineage: Eukaryota; Metazoa; Chordata; Mammalia; Primates; Hominidae
Description: non-protein coding SOCS2-AS1:2
Source: RNAcentral